AGAGUUUGAUCAUGGCUCAGAGUGAACGCUGGCGGCAGGCCUAAUACAUGCAAGUCGAACGGCAGCACAGUGGAGCUUGCUCCAUGGGUGGCGAGUGGCGGACGGGUGAGGAAUACAUGGGAAUCUGCCCAGUCGUGGGGGAUAACGUAGGGAAACUUACGCUAAUACCGCAUGCGCCCUUCGGGGGAAAGCCGGGGACCGUAAAGGCCUGGCGCGAUUGGAUGAGCCCAUGUCGGAUUAGCUAGUUGGCGGGGUAAAGGCCCACCAAGGCGACGAUCCGUAGCUGGUCUGAGAGGAUGAUCAGCCACACUGGAACUGAGACACGGUCCAGACUCCUACGGGAGGCAGCAGUAGGGAAUAUUGGACAAUGGGCGCAAGCCUGAUCCAGCCAUGCCGCGUGAGUGAAGAAGGCCCUCGGGUUGUAAAGCUCUUUUGUCCGGAAAGAAAAGCGCCGGGUUAAUACCCUGGUGUCCUGACGGUACCGGAAGAAUAAGCACCGGCUAACUUCGUG
This 511-nucleotide ribosomal RNA is filed under the name uncultured bacterium. RNAcentral describes it as "bacterial SSU rRNA". It matches the Rfam family "Bacterial small subunit ribosomal RNA", at positions 8 to 507 of the family's 1533-position model. The record is from RNAcentral.